RNAcentral lists this unclassified non-coding RNA (405 nucleotides) under Eucalyptus rubiginosa. RNAcentral's name for it is "partial external transcribed spacer". Lineage: Eukaryota; Viridiplantae; Streptophyta; Magnoliopsida; Myrtales; Myrtaceae. The record is from RNAcentral.
GCUGGUGCAUCGAACUGCUUCCCUCACUUUCGAUCAGUUGUUGCUCCACGAGAUAAACGUUGGACGCAAGACAUGGGUUCCUGUGUUGCAUACCUAUUGCGACGGAAAUGUGUGCCUUCGAUCGUCCCUUCCAUCACGGCGUCCUCACGGAUGCUCGGUUGGACCGGAUAGUGGGGCUCGUGUUCCACGAACGUCGUCUCAUUCGACCGUUCGGAUGGACCACGGGUGCCCACUCGUUCUCUCGGAUGCGGAAAUCYCUURAUGGGCRUGGGGUCAUUGGCCCUUGGUCCCUAAUCGUUAAGCGUUUAUCGCUUCACCGGAAUGACGAUCUCGCCUUGUCCUUGACCACGCGAAGCCCUCGGGCAUCGCGACGGAUCAUGCUCGGCGGACGUCGUGAAGGAAUGC